This is a long non-coding RNA of Sceloporus undulatus (fence lizard), 965 nucleotides long. RefSeq lists it as uncharacterized. The transcript is spliced from 2 exons. The record is from RefSeq and is a predicted model, not a curated record. Lineage: Eukaryota; Metazoa; Chordata; Lepidosauria; Squamata; Phrynosomatidae.
AACUCAAAACCUUGUGGUUUGUGAGUAAGUGGCUGCAGUACAACAGGCAUUUAAUCACUGCGCCACUGUUUGUGUGCAUGAGGAUAUGAGUGACUGCUUGAGAGUGGAAGGGAACAGCACAUAUUUAUUGGCAUGUAUACUUGUGUUCACAGUACACAGAAUCAUGGAAUCAUACAACCACAGAACUGGAAGGAAUCCUGGGAUCAUCUAAUCAACCACCUGCCAAGACAGGAAACCAGGGCCAAAAAAUCUUGUGUACCCCAAUAUAUAAAAGAAGGAAAAAUGGUUACUCCGUCUUACUCAGAGUGCAUGUAAACUGACGCAGGAAUUGGCUGGGAUCCAUGACAGCUAUAGUCAGUGUUCUACCAGGGUGGAACACAAUGGACCUUUUUGCAUUGCUAAUUUCAUGUUGGAUGGCUGCCUUUGCCUAAAGGAAACCUGGAUACAUGUUCACAGGGAAGAAAAAGAGGUGUGUUCCUUUUUAAUAAGACUAUUCCUGUUCCUGCUUAAGAGAUAUAAUUUCCAUAUAAACCUGCUUAUUUAUUAUUUAUGCAGUCACCUAUGAAACAUAAUGGGCCAGGGCCAAAGAAAAGAAAUGACAAUUUCAUACAAGAUGAAAUCUUGCAAGCCAGAGAUUUAAAAAAGACUCAUGACAAUGAUACACAGUGAAACUUAGCUGCACUCACCGUAAAGGCAAAUUUAGUUUCCAUUUUCACAUUUGGUAUCUCCACUUUACUAUGAUGGUAAGCAUUUGAAAGUGGUGACAGAAAAUUUACAUGAAAAUGUCAUUCUUUGAUGGAGCUAGUCAUUCAGUUUCAUGUUUUAGCAGAAACCCACCUAGGAUGCACGUUCUGAACUAAUAUAUGAAUAAAAGUGCUGUUAUCUUUUCGUAUUGAUACUUUUCCAAAUGUUGCUGGAAUGUUUUCCCUGUCAAUAAAUGCAUCCAUUAAAGAACAUUAAGAAAA